This 391-nucleotide unclassified non-coding RNA is filed under the name Hevea brasiliensis (rubber tree). The record is from RNAcentral. Lineage: Eukaryota; Viridiplantae; Streptophyta; Magnoliopsida; Malpighiales; Euphorbiaceae.
GUUUUGUUGGGCUUCUCCCCUCUCCAAGCAAUGAGGAUGAUAUAAUCAAAUACUCAUCAUUGAUUUGAAGAUUAAAAAACUUUCAAGUAAAAAAGGAACAACUCCGCACAUGCUGUGUGAUUCUGUAACAAUUUCCAGUUUUGAACCAAAGAUGGUUAGAAGAGACAUGCUAAUCUCACCAUUAAAUAAACAACAAAUGUCCUGUAUUCAGCUUAAAAAUGAUUUAUCUUGAGGUAAAAAUUUUAUCCUAUGCCUAGACAAGAUCAAAGAAAAGGUCAAUGUACAACCAAGCAAAUGUUGCAAAUCCACACAAUCUCUUAUUCAAUUAUGAUGACAAAAACUUGAACAAAAAUGUGGAGAGAGAUUAUAUGAAGUAUCUAAGAGAGAGAAA